This 440-nucleotide ribosomal RNA is filed under the name uncultured bacterium. RNAcentral's name for it is "partial 16S ribosomal RNA". It matches the Rfam family "Bacterial small subunit ribosomal RNA", at positions 338 to 795 of the family's 1533-position model. The record is from RNAcentral.
CCUACGGGAGGCAGCAGUGGGGAAUAUUGCACAAUGGGGGCAACCCUGAUGCAGCGACGCCGCGUGCGUGAAGAAGUACUUCGUUAUGUAAAGCUCUAUCAGCAGGGAAGAAAAUGACGGUACCUGAGUCAGAAGCCCCGGCUAACUACGUGCCAGCAGCCGCGGUAAUACGUAGGGGGCAAGCGUUAUCCGGAUUUACUGGGUGUAAAGGGAGCGUAGACGGCAGUGUAAGUCUGGAGUGAAAGGCGGGGGCUCAACCCCCGGACUGCUCUGGAAACUGUACGGCUGGAGUGCAGGAGAGGUAAGUGGAAUUCCUGGUGUAGCGGUGAAAUGCGUAGAUAUUAGGCGGAACACCGGUGGCGAAGGCGGCUUACUGGACUGUAACUGACGUUGAGGCUCGAAAGCGUGGGGAGCAAACAGGAUUAGAUACCCCUGUAGUC